AGUGAACGCUGGCGGUAGGCCUAACACAUGCAAGUCGAACGGCAGCACAGUAAGAGCUUGCUCUUACGGGUGGCGAGUGGCGGACGGGUGAGGAAUACAUCGGAAUCUACUUUUUCGUGGGGGAUAACGUAGGGAAACUUACGCUAAUACCGCAUACGACCUACGGGUGAAAGCAGGGGAUCUUCGGACCUUGCGCGAUUGAAUGAGCCGAUGUCGGAUUAGCUAGUUGGCGGGGUAAAGGCCCACCAAGGCGACGAUCCGUAGCUGGUCUGAGAGGAUGAUCGGCCACACUGGAACUGAGACACGGUCCAGACUCCUACGGGAGGCAGCAGUGGGGAAUAUUGGACAAUGGGCGCAAGCCUGAUCCAGCCAGACCGCGUGGGUGAAGAAGGCCUUCGGGUUGUAAAGCCCUUUUGUUGGGAAAGAAAAGCAGCAGGUUAAUACCCCGCUGUUCUGACGGUACCCAAAGAAUAAGCACCGGCUAACUUCGUG
This 492-nucleotide ribosomal RNA is filed under the name uncultured bacterium. RNAcentral's name for it is "partial 16S ribosomal RNA". It matches the Rfam family "Bacterial small subunit ribosomal RNA", at positions 29 to 507 of the family's 1533-position model. The record is from RNAcentral.